This 319-nucleotide ribosomal RNA is filed under the name uncultured eukaryote. RNAcentral describes it as "partial 18S ribosomal RNA". It matches the Rfam family "Eukaryotic small subunit ribosomal RNA", at positions 1470 to 1796 of the family's 1831-position model. The record is from RNAcentral.
CCCUCAGAUGUUCUGGGCCGCACGCGCGCUACAAUGGUCUUCGCAAACGGAUGCAUUCUCGAAGGAGAAUGCCAAUCUUGGAAUCUAUGCCUUGGUCGGGACAGUUGCUUGCAAUUUUUCGACUCGAACCAGGAAUUCCUUGUAAUCGUGAUUCAUCACAUCACGAUGAAUACGUCCCUGCCCUUUGUACACACCGCCCGUCGCUCCUACCGAUCGAAGAGUUAGGUGAAUUGUUUUGAUCGAUAAGAUUUGACUAUGGUCAACUCUCGUUGUGAAAUUCUGUGAAUCUGACUGUUUAGAGGAAGGAAAAGUCGUAACA